AGAGUUUGAUCAUGGCUCAGGAUGAACGCUGGCGGCAUGCCUAAAACAUGCAAGUCGAGCGGUAAGGCCCCUUCGGGGGUACACGAGCGGCGGACGGGUGAGUAACGCGUGGGAAUCUACCCCAAACUGAGGGAUAAGCAUUGGAAACGAUGUCUAAUACCGCAUAUGGUCUUCGGAUUAAAGCUUCGGCGGUUUGGGAAGAGCCCGCGUAAGAUUAGCUAGUUGGUGAGGUAAAGGCUCACCAAGGCGACGAUCUUUAACUGGUUUUAAGAGGAUGAUCAGUCACACUGGAACUGAGACACGGUCCAGACUCCUACGGGAGGCAGCAGUUAGGAAUUUUCCACAAUGGGCGAAAGCCUGAUGGAGCAAUGCCGCGUACAGGAUGAAGGCCCUAGGGUUGUAAACUGCUUUUAUACGUGAAGAAUAUGACGGUAACGUAUGAAUAAGGAUCGGCUAACUCCGUG
This 464-nucleotide ribosomal RNA is filed under the name uncultured bacterium. RNAcentral's name for it is "bacterial SSU rRNA". It matches the Rfam family "Bacterial small subunit ribosomal RNA", at positions 8 to 507 of the family's 1533-position model. The record is from RNAcentral.